GAUGAACGCUGGCGGCGUGCCCAAUACAUGCAAGUCGAGCGAACAGACGAGGAGUUUGCUCCUCUGACGUUAUCGGCGGACGGGUGAGUAACACGUGGAUAACCUACUUAUAAGACUGGGAUAACUUCGGGAAACCGGAGCUAAUACUGGAUAAUACAUUGAACCGUAUUGUUCAAUAGUGAAAGAUGGCUUUGUUUUUACUUAUAUAUGGAUCCUCGCCGAAUUGGUUAGUUGGUAAGGUAACGGCUUACCAAGGCGACGACGCGUAGCCGACCUGAGAGGGUAAUCGGCAAGACUAGAACUGAGACGCGGUCCAAAAUCGUACGGGAGGAGGAAGUAGGGAAACUUACGCAAAAGGCGUAAGCCUGACGGAGAAACACAGCGUGAGUGAAGAAGGUCAAGGGAUCGUAAAGCACUGUUAUUGGGGAAAAACAGAGUAGUAGGUAACUAUGCACGUCUUGACGGUACCUAGUCAGAAAGCCACGGCUAACUAAGUG
This 497-nucleotide ribosomal RNA is filed under the name uncultured bacterium. RNAcentral's name for it is "partial 16S ribosomal RNA". It matches the Rfam family "Bacterial small subunit ribosomal RNA", at positions 28 to 507 of the family's 1533-position model. The record is from RNAcentral.